Molecule: small nuclear RNA, 332 nt
Filed under: Carlito syrichta (Philippine tarsier)
Lineage: Eukaryota; Metazoa; Chordata; Mammalia; Primates; Tarsiidae
Description: 7SK RNA (ENSTSYG00000030500.1)
Rfam family: 7SK RNA
About the family: 7SK was discovered as an abundant small nuclear RNA in the mid-70s but a possible function has only recently been suggested.
Source: RNAcentral
GGCGGUUAGGCCGAUAUGGCUGCGACAUCUGUCACCCCGUUGAUCGCCAGGGUUGACCUGGCUGAUCUGGCCGGCUAGGCGGGUGCUCCCUUUCCUCCCUGGCUGCCCCAUGGGCAUGCUUCCUGAAGCUGUGCGCCUGGUCGAAGAGGAUGCCCACGCCCGCUAGAGGGGGACCGUUCUUUGGUCAGGGGUAUCCGGGGAGCUGUGCCCCCUGCUGGAACCUCAAACAAGCUCUCGUGGUCCAGGACACUGGCCACAUCCUUUGUACAGCCUGAUGCAAAAUAAAAGGGCCGGACCCCUGAUUCAAAAAAUUAAAACGUUCAAGACGGUAA